RNAcentral lists this ribosomal RNA (745 nucleotides) under Klebsiella pneumoniae. Its description in RNAcentral is "partial 23S ribosomal RNA". It matches the Rfam family "Bacterial large subunit ribosomal RNA", at positions 483 to 1231 of the family's 2925-position model. The record is from RNAcentral. Lineage: Bacteria; Pseudomonadati; Pseudomonadota; Gammaproteobacteria; Enterobacterales; Enterobacteriaceae.
ACCGAUAGUGAACCAGUACCGUGAGGGAAAGGCGAAAAGAACCCCGGCGAGGGGAGUGAAAAAGAACCUGAAACCGUGUACGUACAAGCAGUGGGAGCACCUUCGGGUGUGACUGCGUACCUUUUGUAUAAUGGGUCAGCGACUUAUAUUCUGUAGCAAGGUUAACCGUAUAGGGGAGCCGCAGGGAAACCGAGUCUUAACUGGGCGUUAAGUUGCAGGGUAUAGACCCGAAACCCGGUGAUCUAGCCAUGGGCAGGUUGAAGGUUGGGUAACACUAACUGGAGGACCGAACCGACUAAUGUUGAAAAAUUAGCGGAUGACUUGUGGCUGGGGGUGAAAGGCCAAUCAAACCGGGAGAUAGCUGGUUCUCCCCGAAAGCUAUUUAGGUAGCGCCUCGUGAAUUCAUCUUCGGGGGUAGAGCACUGUUUCGGCUAGGGGGUCAUCCCGACUUACCAACCCGAUGCAAACUACGAAUACCGAAGAAUGUUAUCACGGGAGACACACGGCGGGUGCUAACGUCCGUCGUGAAGAGGGAAACAACCCAGACCGCCAGCUAAGGUCCCAAAGUCAUGGUUAAGUGGGAAACGAUGUGGGAAGGCACAGACAGCCAGGAUGUUGGCUUAGAAGCAGCCAUCAUUUAAAGAAAGCGUAAUAGCUCACUGGUCGAGUCGGCCUGCGCGGAAGAUGUAACGGGGCUAAACCAUGCACCGAAGCUGCGGCAGCGACACUAUGUGUUGUUGGGUAG